GGGGGGGGGGGGGGGCGGGGGGGGGGGGGGGGGGGCGGGGGGGGGGGCCGGGGGGGCGGGGUGCGGGGGUGGCGGGCGGGUGCGUAGCGCGGGGGGGCUCGGCGUCUACCGUCGGGAUACGCGUGGGCCCCUGGGUCUCGUCCCGGGUCGGAGCGUCGUUUCGUUUCGGUUGUGGACAGUGUUUUCGGUUAGUGCUGCGCCCGCGUCCUCUCGCCUGUUUUGUGGGGUAAUGGCCUACCAAGGCGUCGACGGGUAGCCGGCCGGAGAGGGUGGACGGCCACAUGGGGACUGAGAUACGGCCCAGACUCCUACGGGAGGCAGCAGUGGGGAAUAUUGCACAAUGGGCGCAAGCCUGAUGCAGCGACGCCGCGUGGGGGAUGACGGCCUUCGGGUUGUAAACCUCUUUCGACAGGGACGAAGCUUUGGUGACGGUACCUGUAUAAGAAGCACCGGCUAACUACGUG
Molecule: ribosomal RNA, 464 nt
Filed under: uncultured bacterium
Lineage: Bacteria
Description: partial 16S ribosomal RNA
Rfam family: Bacterial small subunit ribosomal RNA (bases 56-464)
Source: RNAcentral